AAGAAAUUUAAGGAGGUGGAGGUGGAGCAAGUUCAGGUUGCUGCAUACAAUGUCCUCGCACUGUCUAUCCAGAGCCUGCUUUGCAGAAAACUGGGCUAGGAAACGCUAUAAAAGGUCUCUUUUCACAGUGCUCCUCAAUCCACUUGGCUUCUCAAUGCUUCUUGGUCGCUCAGUCCUGUGGGUGAAUUAGGUUUACCUAAAUUGUUGAAAUAUGUCUUACCAACAUCAGCAGCAGUGUAAGCAAACCUGCCUGCCACCACCAGUGUGUCCACCCCAGUGCCCGGACCCGUGCCCCCCAAGGAAAUGCCAAGAGCCGUGCCCUCCACUCAAGUGCCCGGACCCGUGCCCUCCACCCAAGUGCCCAGAGCCGUGCCCUCCACCAAAAUGCCCUCCACCUAAGUGCCCGCCUAUGCAGAAGUACAACUGAAGUGAUAUGAGUAUCCACAGGAGCAUCAACAGCCACGAAAUGUCAAGCAAAUUAGCAAGUUCCUGUUUGUAACUUAUUUCAUAAAUGGUUCUCUCAUGUUCUCCCUGGCUUGGCUUCUGGGGGGUUUCAGAACGCUACUUGUACCCUGAGUAUUUAUUCAGUCAUUAGUAUCCUCUAGGGAUUGGUAUAGCCUGCAAUUGGCUUUGUAUCCCUGAAAUAUUGUUUUUUACAUCCUUCAAAAACAUGCCGUACCAUACACCGGUCCUGAGGAAUAAAUGAUAAUGCUGUACAUUCAUUCGCCUGUUUUCCAUCCCAUCUUUCAUUGUAGACAUGCUGGAAUAAAAAUGAUAAUUUAUUGUA
This is a long non-coding RNA of Chelonia mydas (Green sea turtle), 787 nucleotides long. RefSeq lists it as uncharacterized. The transcript has 2 exons. The record is from RefSeq and is a predicted model, not a curated record. NCBI's taxonomy places the organism in Eukaryota, Metazoa, Chordata, Testudines, Cheloniidae.